RNAcentral lists this ribosomal RNA (246 nucleotides) under uncultured bacterium. Its description in RNAcentral is "partial 16S ribosomal RNA". It matches the Rfam family "Bacterial small subunit ribosomal RNA", at positions 90 to 334 of the family's 1533-position model. The record is from RNAcentral.
CUUUAGUGGCGAACGGGUGAGUAACGCGUGAGUAACCUGCCCUAGAGUGGGGGACAACAGUUGGAAACGACUGCUAAUACCGCAUAAGCCCACGGUACCGCAUGGUACUGAGGGAAAAGGAUUUAUUCGCUUUAGGAUGGACUCGCGUCCAAUUAGCUAGUUGGUGAGGUAACGGCCCACCAAGGCGACGAUUGGUAGCCGGACUGAGAGGUUGAACGGCCACAUUGGGACUGAGACACGGCCCAG